Molecule: non-coding RNA, 107 nt
Organism: Thiobacillus sp. SCN 63-57
Lineage: Bacteria; Pseudomonadati; Pseudomonadota; Betaproteobacteria; Nitrosomonadales; Thiobacillaceae
Source: Rfam
GCCGCUCGCCAGGGGUCUCCGGACGGCCGUCACGCCGAAUGGAGUGAGAGAUACCCUUCGAACCUGAUGCGGUUGAGACCGCCGUAGGGAGGCUGACAGGCCUCCCG